Molecule: long non-coding RNA, 1751 nt
Filed under: Theobroma cacao (cacao)
Lineage: Eukaryota; Viridiplantae; Streptophyta; Magnoliopsida; Malvales; Malvaceae
Description: long non-coding RNA (TCAC_LNC004361)
Source: RNAcentral
GAAACGUAAAAACAAAAUAAAUUCGUCAUAUUGUAGCACAAUAAACUAUUAAAUUUACAAUAUCAAGUGGGCCCAUAAUAACCAGAAUUAAAGAAACUAUGAACCUACAGUUUGGGAGACGCAAAUCCAAUGGAAAUCCCUCGAUGGAACCAGCUAUCUAUAGCCUACUCUGAGCCUCAAAUGGGUGGAAAUGAGGAUGGUGAGAUUAUAAAAUCCCAAUGAGUAAACAAACAUCAUCAUAAACAUCUAGAGUUCAGUACAUGGAGACAAUAAAGUAAAUCAUCGUAAAUUGGGUCACAUUAUUAGAACACAUUUCAUUCAAAAUACGUAAGGAGGCUUAUGAAUCUCAUAAAACCAGGCUUGUGCUAUAAAUCCAUCCUCGGGGACACCUUGAUCAGAGGCAUCCUACCGAGACCGCCAAGGCUGUUAAAAAUUUACAUUUCGCAUAAAACACAUUUUUCGUUCGACAUCACAGCCGUUCCUUGGUGUUGGCUGAGUUCACCAUCACGUGGUGGUUUGGCGUGAAGUGAACUCAAAUAUCACCUCAGGAGUUACCCUACGCGCCUCUACAACCAAAGUGAGCACAUAUAAACGGGGUUACUGUGCCUCUCUCAUAGGCUGGUCCACUGAACCCGCCUACUGCAGCAAGCUAAUAAUUAUCCCACCAAUCAAUAAAAUUCAGUAACAUGAUAUGACAAUUAUUGUAAUUCACAGCCUUUCAAGGCAAACAAACAAUCCGUAUUUCAAUACAAUUGCCAACCAGCCAAUCAUGCCCGAUUUAUCAUAAGCCAAUCAAUUUAACAAUCAAAUUGCAACAAAUAGCAGUCUCUCUGUACUCUAUUUUUCAAAAUCAUUAUUAAUUUCAAAACAAUUUAUAAAUUAAUUUCAUUGAAACACAUUUAUUCAUAAAAUAUGAAAAUUUACCUUUUUAAAUCCAUUUUUCCAUAGAAUUCAUGAAAUCAUCUAAAAACCACCCUAGAUAAUUAAAAUGACAGCAAAUUUACUCACCUCACAAUAACGAGAUUUCUAUGUCGCUAUUGAUUCGUAUACGUGUAUAAUUAUACCUAAUUGCCCGUCACCUACUUCGUUCAACACGCUUUCCUAGCAACCAUUUAAAUUCAAUACAUUUAAUGAAUCAAUUCUACUUUUCUCUCUCUCAUUCUAUCAUAAAUCCACUCACCUAAUUCAUAUCUUAAUAUAUUUUUACUAUAAUUAAUUGCAUCCUUCGUUCACAUAAUUCUUUAGAGUAUUAACACCGGUAACUUAUUUAUGGUAUUAAGUGCCUAUUUCAACCUUCUAAGCAACUUAAAUUUACUUCAUAUCACUAACUAACCAAUGCAUAAUUAAAUAAAAUAAACUAGCCUCCAUAUAGUCCAAUUUCACAAUAAAUCAUGGAGAAGAGUAAAGAAUUUUACCCAAUUAAGCUAGGUUGGCCCAAAUCUCCACAUUCCUUUUCUUUUCAAUUUUUUUCUUCCUUUGUUGUUUUUGGACUCUUAUUCAUGGACUUCUCCCAUUUCUUUUUAAUUAGGUCAUGCCCAUUCUUCCUUUAUUAGGCCAUGUCCAAUUUUCUAUCUUGUUAUUUUCUUUUCCUUUCUUUUCUUUUCUUUUCUUUUCUUUUCUUUCUUUCUUUCUCUCCCACCGUCCAACAGCCCUUGUUGUCUUCCUUUUUCUUCUCUUCACAUGCACAAACCGUCCCACUCUCUUCCUUUCUCUCCCUCUCACCACCGGUCACCCUUUCUUGCCUUUCAACU